Molecule: ribosomal RNA, 494 nt
Filed under: uncultured bacterium
Lineage: Bacteria
Description: partial 16S ribosomal RNA
Rfam family: Bacterial small subunit ribosomal RNA
Source: RNAcentral
GACGAACGCUGGCGGCGUGCUUAACACAUGCAAGUCGAACGGAAAGGCCUGCUUUCCCUUGUGGAUUGCGGGUACUCGAGUGGAGAACGGGUGAGUAACACGUGAGUGAUCUGCCCCCAACUUGGGUAUAAGCCUGGGAAACUGGGUCUAAUUCCCGAUAGGACUGCAGGGUGGUGCCUGUGGUGGAAAACGAUUUUCUAGUGGUUGGGGAUGAGCUCGCGGCCUAUCAGCUUGUUGGUGGGGUAAUGGCCUACCAAGGCGGCGACGGGUAGCCGGCCUGAGAGGGUGGACGGCCACAUUUGGACUGAGAUACGGCCCAGACUCCUACGGGAGGCAGCAGUGGGGAAUAUUGCACAAUGGGCGGAAGCCUGAUGCAGCGACGCCGCGUGGGGGAUGACGGCCUUCGGGUUGUAAACUCCUUUCGACCGCGAGGAAGCCACCUGGUUGGAAGGGUGGUGACGGUAGUGGUAGAAGAAGCACCGGCUAACUACGUG